AUGCUAUUUAGACACUGCUAGAAGGAUCAAGCUCCUGAAUGCCAGCAGUGUGUUAUCCUGCAGCAAGAUCCUUAAGCCCUGAUGGAUUUGCAGCCUCCUCUCAAUUUCUUUUCCAAAGCAGCUAAAGGUGAUGACUAAACAUGUCAUUGAAUUCAUCCAUGUGAAUCCUAAUAAGUACGUGAGAGCACAAAGGGAUAUCAGAGGACAGAGCUGGUCACUGGCAAGAGUGAGAUGCAUCAUAUCCCUGAGGACUGCAGUAAUAGUAAUAGAGAGGGAAACAGACAAAAACAUAAUGGUGAGUAUUAAGAAUUUGUUGGAUUUUUCUCUUCUUUUUCCUUUUCUUUUUUUUUUUUUUUUUUUUUUUUUUAGAAGUCCUGUAAAAUCUAAUUCACAGAGCAUAAGCAUUAAUUCAAAACAUUUGCUCACUCUACACUCUUGCUACCUGAUCUACCUGUCUUGCUGAUAUAUAUACUGCAGAUACAGAUUUAUUUCUACAGAUAAGUAUUUUUGUAUUUUGGUAAUAAA
Molecule: long non-coding RNA, 525 nt
Filed under: Anas platyrhynchos platyrhynchos (common mallard)
Lineage: Eukaryota; Metazoa; Chordata; Aves; Anseriformes; Anatidae
Description: lncRNA (ENSAPLG00000019931.1)
Source: RNAcentral